RNAcentral lists this ribosomal RNA (508 nucleotides) under uncultured bacterium. Its description in RNAcentral is "SSU rRNA". It matches the Rfam family "Bacterial small subunit ribosomal RNA", at positions 26 to 521 of the family's 1533-position model. The record is from RNAcentral.
AGGACGAACGCUGGCGGCGCGCUUAAUACAUGCAAGUCGAGCGAGAACCAGGGCUUCGGCUCUGGGGACAGCGGCGAACGGGUGAGUAACACGUGGGUAAUCAACCCCCGACACCGGGAUAGCCCAGGGAAACUUGGAUUAAUACCGGAUGCUCCGUCUGGCUUUAGGGCCGGCCGGAAAAGGGUAGCUUCGGCCUCCGGUCGGGGACGAGCCCGCGGCGGAUUAGCUUGUUGGUGAGGUAAAGGCUCACCAAGGCGACAAUCCGUAGCUGGUCUGAGAGGACGAUCAGCCACACUGGGACUGAGACACGGCCCAGACUCCUACGGGAGGCAGCAGUAGGGAAUCUUGCGCAAUGGGCGAAAGCCUGACGCAGCGACGCCGCGUGAGGGAAGAAGGCCUUCGGGUUGUAAACCUCUUUCAGGAGGGACGAAGCCACUCGGGUUAAUAGCCUAGAGGGUGACGGUACCUCCAGAAGAAGCCCGGCUAACUACGCGCCAGCAGCCGCGGU